RNAcentral lists this ribosomal RNA (250 nucleotides) under uncultured bacterium. RNAcentral's name for it is "partial 16S ribosomal RNA". It matches the Rfam family "Bacterial small subunit ribosomal RNA", at positions 524 to 773 of the family's 1533-position model. The record is from RNAcentral.
UACGGAGGAUCCAAGCGUUAUCCGGAUUUAUUGGGUUUAAAGGGUGCGUAGGCUGUUCGUUAAGUUAGAGGUGAAAUCCCGUGGCUCAACCACGGAACUGCCUCUGAUACUGGCGGGCUAGAGAUUAGAUGCUGUGGGCGGAAUGUGUGGUGUAGCGGUGAAAUGCUUAGAGAUCACACAGAACACCGAUUGCGAAGGCAGCUCACAAAUCUAGAUCUGACGCUGAGGCACGAAAGCGUGGGGAGCAAAC